This 1545-nucleotide long non-coding RNA is filed under the name Anas platyrhynchos platyrhynchos (common mallard). RNAcentral's name for it is "lncRNA (ENSAPLG00000028104.1)". Lineage: Eukaryota; Metazoa; Chordata; Aves; Anseriformes; Anatidae. The record is from RNAcentral.
GAGACAAUCACAGCUUCCAUGUUGAUGUGUGACUUGACAUUUUUUCAAACUUUAGAGGAUGACUUUACAUCAAUGACAGAAAACAAAACAAAACAAAACAAACAAACAAAAAAACAACAUAUAACUUCUACCUGAAAAAAUAGUCUCCUACUAAAUUUUGCUCUCUCCAUGCUUCUUUUCUCUUUUAGCAGAACCAGAUGCUGAAAUAGAGAGCAGAACUCCUGUGGACAUCAGAGAGUGCAGAACUGAGCCAUCAAGAAGUUGCAAGAAGGUCUGGAUAUAAUGACAGCCAGAAGCUUGGAGAAGAGAGCAAAAGAAAGCUCAAUCUGUACAUGCCGUGUCCUUAUGCUGUGCUAAGUAUCCACAAAGACCACUGCUGGAAACCGGAUAAAAGGCUAGAUGGACUUCUCCUCUAAUCUAUGGCCAUAUUUAUAUUUUUAUGAGCUGGCUUCUGUCCAGGCAGGUUGAGAGUCCUGCACUUCCUGGGAUUAUCCAGUGUCCCACUAGAAUACAACAGUCCACACGUUCAUUUACAGGUUUGAAGACCAGGAUCGUCUAGAAAAGUAACAAAUUUGAUUUUCUGAAUGGCCAUGUCUGGCAUAAUUUACAUGGCAGAUCCAACAUCUAGAACAUUUCUUGCUCUAACUUGUAACAAAACACAUGGCAAGCAAAAGGCCAUUCUUUCUAAGUCAAAGGGCAGCCUCCAUGGGUCAAGAAAAGCAGUCCCGAGUCUAUGUGUUCAGGCCAAUACUAAUGUGAGAUAAGGAUGAAUUAUAUCACCUGUCCUGUAUGGUAGCACCACCUGCUUCUCCAAUGGAAGGCAGAGACAACUCUGGAGUAAAUGAACACAAUAUGUCAUUUUUGCUGAAGACAGAUCUCUUGAGCAACAACUCAACUGCUCUGCAGGCAGAAACCAAACCAUUGUCCAAAUUACAAAAUCCAACAUGAGGUUAAUAGAUUCUGAUGAAAAUAUAAAGACAAUGAGAUUCCCAGCAGCUUCCAGCUAAAGGCUUGCCUUUCAGAGGGCAAAAGGUUACAAAAGGUGAACCUACUCGUGCUUUGGCAGACUCAUGAUUGGUGUGGAAAUUCAACAGGAAAUAAUGUAAUGAAUUGGCAAGGCAGCUGCUGAUAUUCAGAAGCCUGGAUCACUGAAAACCUGUAACUGACAGAUCAAACUCUGGCUCUCCAGCUCAGAUAUUCCUUUCACCUUUGCACACAGAUGUGAGUGCUGGAAAUCCACCAAAGGUAUAAACAAGAUAUCUCAAUACUUUGGAAAGUAAAUGCCAUACGAAAACAAAACAAAACCCUGAGGAUUAAAUGGAAUGAGUUUGUAAGAAAUACUGGGAUUCCUCAAGUUUUUGACAGCCCCUUAUCUCCAGUGGGAUAUAUUUAAGCUAUGUGGAAAAUGCAAAGGCAGAGCAUCUGCCACAGCAGGUAGGACACUAAACAGCAGGAGAAGCAUAUGAAAGGAGAUAGCUGAAAGAACAGAAAUAUCAAAACUCACUCAAAGGGGGAAAAAUAAAGGAGUAAAUGACAAGGAGGACA